AAGCGAAACACAGGCAAGGAAGCUUGUGUCUGCCAGUCGUCGUGGACUGGUACUGACGAGCAGCGAGGA
Molecule: non-coding RNA, 69 nt
Filed under: Acinetobacter sp.
Lineage: Bacteria; Pseudomonadati; Pseudomonadota; Gammaproteobacteria; Moraxellales; Moraxellaceae
Source: RNAcentral